GGCCGCUUGGCCCAAUGGUAAGGCGUCUGACUACGACGGAGCUUGACAACGAGCUUUCACCAUCUAAUCAGGAGAUUCUGGGUUCGAGCCCCAGGGUGGUCA
This 102-nucleotide transfer RNA is filed under the name Hypoxylon fuscum. Its description in RNAcentral is "tRNA-Arg". It matches the Rfam family "tRNA". Rfam says of the family: Transfer RNA (tRNA) molecules are approximately 80 nucleotides in length. The record is from RNAcentral. Lineage: Eukaryota; Fungi; Ascomycota; Sordariomycetes; Xylariales; Hypoxylaceae.